This 2081-nucleotide ribosomal RNA is filed under the name Chloroflexota bacterium. Its description in RNAcentral is "bacterial LSU rRNA". It matches the Rfam family "Bacterial large subunit ribosomal RNA", at positions 1 to 2001 of the family's 2925-position model. The record is from RNAcentral. Lineage: Bacteria; Bacillati; Chloroflexota.
GGAUAAAGCUACUAAGCGUACACGGGGGAUGCCUUGGCACCAACUGCCGAAGAAGGGCGUGGCAAGACUGCGAUAAGCCUCGGUUAGUCGUCUAGCUGACUUAACCGGGGAUUCCCGAAUGGGGUAACCCAAUUCACUAAAUGUGGAUUAUCUUUGAACUAACCCUUAAUUCAAAGAAGGUAAGCAGGGGAACUGAAACAUCUAAGUACCCUGAGGAAGAGAAAUCAAAAGAGAUUCCCGUAGUAGUGGCGAACGAAAUGGGAAUAGCCUAAACCAUAGAGGCUUCACGGCUUUGGGGCCCAUGUCUUUAUGGGGUUGCAAGAAGUAUGUGUUGAGGCCCAUAACUCAACGAGGAGUAAGAAAACCAUUUUCUAUUCGAAUGUUCCUGGAACGGACAGCCAGAGAAGGUGAGAGCCCGGUAGAUUAAAGGAAAUGGUCUCCUUAUUACUUUCUUAAGUAGAGCGGGACACGUGAAAUCUUGCUUGAAUCUGGGGGGACCAUCCUCCAAGGCUAAAUACAGUUGGUGACCGAUAGUGAACUAGUACCGUGAGGGAAAGGUGAAAAGUACCCCGAGAGGGGAGUGAAAUAGACCUGAAACCGUGUACGUACAAACAGUCGGAGUAUCGAUUUAUCGAUAUGACGGCGUGCCUUUUGAAGAAUGAACCUGCGAGUUACUGGGACGUGGCAAGGUUAAUCUGCUAAGCAGAGGAGCCGAAGCGAAAGCGAGUCUGAAUAGGGCAUUCAGUCGCGUUCCGUAGACCCGAAACCAGGCGAGCUACCCAUGGCCAGGUUGAAGCUCAGAUAGUCUCUGAGUGAAGGACCGAACCCAUUUCAAGUACAAAUGGAUGGGAUGAGUUGUGGGUAGAGGUGAAAUGCCAAUCGAGCUUGGAAAUAGCUGGUUCUCCCCGAAAUGCAUUUAGGUGCAGCGUUGAAGAUUGACUUGAGGAGGUAAGGCUCUGGAUGGGUCAGGGGGUGCAAACUUACCGAUCCCAACCAAACCAAGAAUGCCUUAAGCUCGUACUUCAGCAGUGAGACAGUGGGGGAUAAGCUCCAUUGUCGAGAGGGAAACAGCCCAGACCACCGUCUAAGGUCCCCAAGUAUAUACUCAGUGUGAAAGGAAGUUGAAUCGCCAAAACAGCCAGGAGGUUGGCUUAGAAGCAGCCACCCUUUAAAGAGUGCGUAAUAGCUCACUGGUCGAGGGGUUCUGCGCCGACAAUUUAACGGGGCUUAAGUAUAUCACCGAAGACGUGGCAUCAGUUUACUGAUGGGUAGGGGAGCGUUCUGUAGGCAGUGAAGUCUAGUUGUAAAGCUAGGUGGAGCGUACAGAAGUGAGAAUGCAGGUAUGAGUAGCGUAUAUCUCGGUGAGAAUCCGAGACGUCGAAAAUCUGAGGAUUCCUACGCAACGUUUAUCGACGUAGGGUUAGUCGGUCCUAAGGUGUAUCCGAAAGGAGUAACCGAUGGACAGUAGGUCAAAAUUCCUACACCACCUAUUAUUCGUUUUAAUACAAAGGGGGGACACGGACAGGUAGGCUGAGCGUGCCUAAUGGACAUGGUGCGUUCUUCUUUGAAGGCCAUCUCGCAAGACAUGUAAAUCAGUUAGCGAGGUUAUGAGCUGAGGAAGGAGAGAACUCUAGGGCUCGCCCUGGGGGAUUCGGUUGAACCUAUGCCGUCAAGAAAAGCCUCGUUGUAAGGAUAAUGGGUGACCGUACCGUAAACCGACACUGGUAGAUGAGCAUGAAAGUGCUAAGACGGUCGAGAGAACUCUGGUUAAGGAACUCGGCAAAAGGACCCCGUAACUUCGGGAUAAGGGGUUCCCUCGGGGUGAAGUCUAUUUACUAGACCAGCUCUAGAGGGACACAGCAAAUUGGCCCAAGCGACUGUUUAUCAAAAACACAGGUCUCUGCUAAGGGGUAACCCUAGGUAUAGAGGCUGACGCCUGCCCAGUGCCGGAAGGUUAAAGGGAAAGGUUAUCCGUAAGGAGAAGCUUUGAACUGAAGCCCCGGUGAACGGCGGCCGUAACUAUAACGGUCCUAAGGUAGCGAAGUCCCUUGUCGGGUAAGUUCCGACCCGCACGAAUGGCG